Long non-coding RNA from Alosa sapidissima (American shad), 725 nucleotides. RefSeq lists it as uncharacterized. The record is from RefSeq and is a predicted model, not a curated record. The transcript has 2 exons. Lineage: Eukaryota; Metazoa; Chordata; Actinopteri; Clupeiformes; Clupeidae.
GAACGCACGGGGGACCUGACCAAACAGCGACAAUAACCUACCUCUAAAGGCAUGGGAAUCAACUGCAAUUUGUCACGUAGGCUACUAAUAGACAAACAUUUCCCAUCAUGAUGUAAAUCCACCGUCUGCAUGGAAAUUAAACGUCUGGUUUGCAUAUGUACCGUCACUUUCCCCCUUCAUUUCCAUGAAGUUGGCAGAAGCAAAGUCGACCUCUGGAGAAAGCGAUCCUAACAGAAACACGAAACUUCUGCGGAGAGAAAGCGGUCAGCCGAGGCAGGGUGAUUAAAAAUACAGCCAGCGCUGAACUGUGUGGAAUAGCGACCUCGGUGAUGACUUGACUUUGUGACAUGCAGAGCUGGUUCAGGAAGUCACACAUCCUGUGAACUAUCUGCAUUUUGUCACUUGAACUGAAAUAUGACACAAAAAUAACUCAGUUAGGACAACUCGAUUCAGUCUUAUACAGUAGGCCUAUAGGGAGAAGCUAUGGAGUGACUUGCUCUCUAUAAUCAUGCGAGCACACGGUAAAGAAGGAUACAUUUAGGCUAUCAGACCCACAGCUCACAUUCUACAAGAAGCUACUUGUGACUUGAAGAUCUUUCUAAAGAUCACUGAUAACAAGGUUCUUAAUUUAAUCCCAAGGCCUACAUAUUCACCGAAAAUAUAACAUCCACUUGUAUGUCUAACAUAACAUAUACAACAUCCCCUUUUAAAAAUGUCUUAUUAAC